AGCGAACGCUGGCGGCAGGCCUGACACAUGCAAGUCGAACGAGGUCUUCGGACCUAGUGGCGGACGGGUGAGUAACACGUGGGAACGUGCCCUUUGGUACGGAAUAACCCCGGGAAACUUGAGCUAAUACCGUAUGUGCCCUUCGGGGGAAAGAUUUAUCGCCAUUGGAGCGGCCCGCGUCUGAUUAGCUAGUUGGUGAGGUAACGGCUCACCAAGGCGUCGAUCAGUAGCUGGUCUGAGAGGAUGACCAGCCACAUUGGGACUGAGACACGGCCCAAACUCCUACGGGAGGCAGCAGUGGGGAAUCUUGCGCAAUGGGCGAAAGCCUGACGCAGCCAUGCCGCGUGGAUGAUGAAGGUCUUAGGAUUGUAAAAUCCUUUCACCGGUGAAGAUAAUGACUGUAGCCGGAGAAGAAGCCCCGGCUAACUUCGUGCCAGCAGCCGCAGUAA
Molecule: ribosomal RNA, 449 nt
Filed under: uncultured bacterium
Lineage: Bacteria
Description: partial 16S ribosomal RNA
Rfam family: Bacterial small subunit ribosomal RNA
Source: RNAcentral